This 288-nucleotide long non-coding RNA is filed under the name Panax ginseng (ginseng). RNAcentral describes it as "long non-coding RNA (PGIN_LNC018251)". The record is from RNAcentral. Lineage: Eukaryota; Viridiplantae; Streptophyta; Magnoliopsida; Apiales; Araliaceae.
UUGAGUUCAGUUCAUUCAAUACUGUUCAUUAAAUUCUAUCCAUUAAAUUCAGUUCACUUCAUUUCAUAAAUUAACUGUUAUACGCCUUAUCUAGUUCAUGUCCUAAGUUAAGUUCAUACAGAUUAAUUGAUACUGAAUUAUUGACAAGAAAUGUUCACACAGAAGUAAUAAGGCAUGAAGUUGAUAUUUCAUUAAAUAUUAAUUGUUCACAUAAAGUUAGAAUUUUCACAGAAAAUUCUACAGCUAAAGAUAAGGAGAGGUCAUCUUCAGGCUUCUUCCUUGUCAUCG